RNAcentral lists this ribosomal RNA (207 nucleotides) under uncultured bacterium. Its description in RNAcentral is "partial 16S ribosomal RNA". It matches the Rfam family "Bacterial small subunit ribosomal RNA", at positions 568 to 774 of the family's 1533-position model. The record is from RNAcentral.
CGUGCAGGCGGUUUCUUAAGUCGGACGUGAAAGCUCCUGGCUCAACUGGGAGAGGUCGUUCGAAACUAGGGAACUUGAGGAUGGUAGAGGAGAGUGGAAUUCCCGGUGUAGUGGUGAAAUGCGUAGAUAUCGGGAGGAACACCAGUGGCGAAGGCGGCUCUCUGGGCUAUUCCUGACGCUAAGACGCGAAAGCUAGGGGAGAGAACG